Molecule: ribosomal RNA, 117 nt
Filed under: Capra hircus (goat)
Lineage: Eukaryota; Metazoa; Chordata; Mammalia; Artiodactyla; Bovidae
Source: RNAcentral
GUCUAUGGCCAUACCAUCCUGAAUGUGCCCAAUCUCAUCUGAUCUCAGAAGCUAAGCAGGGUCAAGCCUGGUUGGUACUUGGAUGGGAGACCAUUCCCAUAGCAGUAGUCCUGACCU